AUGGAGAACGGAUUCCACGAUCCGAAAUCGUCCAUGGAAUAUCUUCCACUUUUCUUCCUAUAAUAGGAAUAAAAUCCUCGGAAUUCCAAGCUAUCCUCCAUGGAUAAAUUCCACUUUAUUCCAAGCAAGAUACCAUGGAAUAAUUCCAUAUAUAUUCCUUUUGGCCAUCCAUGGAUAUUAGAAUGGAAUAUUUUCCAUGGUGAUAAAUCCGCGGAAUAUCCAUGGGUUUUCCACGGAAUAAUUCGCUCUUUGCGCGUCCCCACGCGAUUACGUCAGUCUUGUGAAAUUCUUCUCAUAGGAAAGAACGCGAAAAGUGCUGAAUGUAUGCGAUGGAGACGGCACAGGGACCCCACAGUCAGAGAAGACUCGAGGUUUCCGGACAACGUCAAAGUAGGAGAAACAAUCAAUGAAAAUAGGAUGCGGAAAAGCGGUUACCGGAGGAUCUACUUAUCCGACAGAGUGUGACUCAUGACAAGCUUUUUUCAAACAUAUCCGGACCGGUGCGAGAAGACAUCAAAGAGCAUCUCGACUUCCGGCGACCGCGGUAGCAGUCGUCUAGAAAAGUAGCAGUCCCUGGGAAGCGGCAUAGCAGCCACCAAGGCAACGCGUAAUCACAAUCAGAAUCACAUUUGUAAGAUUGAUUGGUUAUAUUUAAUAAAUACAAAUCCAAAUAUAAAUGAGUCUUUUUUUGGAUAUUUUGGGGCGGAGCGCCGGGAAUUUCUGGGAGAAAUUUCACACAUUGGAAUUUCCUCCAUGGUAUUCCUUGUAAUC
This is a long non-coding RNA of Phlebotomus argentipes, 771 nucleotides long. RefSeq lists it as uncharacterized. NCBI's taxonomy places the organism in Eukaryota, Metazoa, Arthropoda, Insecta, Diptera, Psychodidae. The record is from RefSeq and is a predicted model, not a curated record. The transcript is spliced from 4 exons.